Molecule: ribosomal RNA, 651 nt
Filed under: uncultured Ruegeria sp.
Lineage: Bacteria; Pseudomonadati; Pseudomonadota; Alphaproteobacteria; Rhodobacterales; Roseobacteraceae
Description: bacterial SSU rRNA
Rfam family: Bacterial small subunit ribosomal RNA
Source: RNAcentral
CGCGCCUUCGGGUGAGCGCAGGGCGGUUAAAUAACGCGUGGGAACGUCGCCCUUCUCUACGGAAUAGCCUCUGGAAACGGAGAGUAAUACCGUAUACGCCCUUUGGGGGAAAGAUUUAUCGGAGAAGGAUCGGCCCGCGUUAGAUUAGGUAGUUGGUGGGGUAACGGCCUACCAAGCCUACGAUCUAUAGCUGGUUUUAGAGGAUGAUCAGCAACACUGGGACUGAGACACGGCCCAGACUCCUACGGGAGGCAGCAGUGGGGAAUCUUAGACAAUGGGGGCAACCCUGAUCUAGCCAUGCCGCGUGAGUGAUGAAGGCCUUAGGGUCGUAAAGCUCUUUCGCCUGUGAUGAUAAUGACAGUAGCAGGUAAAGAAAACCCGGCUAACUCCGUGCCAGCAGACGCGGUAAUACGGAGGGGGUUAGCGUUGUUCGGAAUUACUGUGCGUAAAGCGCGCGUAAGGCGGAUUAGAAAGUUGGGGGUGAAAUCCCGGGGCUCAACCCCGGAACUGCCUCCAAAACUGCUAGUCUAGAGUUCGAGAGAGGUGAGUGGAAUUCCGAGUGUAGAGGUGAAAUUCGUAGAUAUUCGGAAGAACACCAGUGGCGAAAGCGGUCACUGGCUCGAUAAUGACGCUGAGGUGCGAAAGUGUGGG